UUCUGCUCAAUGAUUUUUUAAAUUGCUGUAGUAUUUUGACUAUACAAAGGUAUUGAAAUAAGAUUUUAAUUGAAUGCUAAGAGAAUGGAAGUCCAGAAAAAAACUUUUUUUAAAUUAAAAAUUGAAGUUUUUUUAAUUUGUGCAGAAACAAUUAUUUAUAUUAAAGACAAGAAGACCCUAUGAAUUUAUUAAAUUUUUAUUUAAUAUGUAAUUACUAUUAGAAAAAUUUUGGCUGGGGCGGCUAGAAAAUAUUAUGAACUUUUUAAAAAUAAAAUGAUCCAUUAUUAAUGAUUUUAUGUUAAAUACUCUAGGGA
RNAcentral lists this ribosomal RNA (314 nucleotides) under Rhipicephalus sanguineus (brown dog tick). RNAcentral's name for it is "partial large subunit ribosomal RNA". The record is from RNAcentral. Lineage: Eukaryota; Metazoa; Arthropoda; Arachnida; Ixodida; Ixodidae.